AGUGAACGCUGGCGGUAGGCCUAACACAUGCAAGUCGAACGGCCGCACAGUAAGAGUUUGCUCUUACGGGUGGCGAGUGGCGGACGGGUGAGGAGUACAUCGGAAACUACUAUUUCGUGGGGGAUAACGUGGGGAAACUUCCGCUAAUACCGCAUAUGACCUACGGGUGAAAGCAGGAGAGCUUCGGACCUUGCGCGACAGAAAGAGACGGUGCCGGAUUGGCUUGUUGGAGGGGUAAAGCCACCCCAAGGCAAGGAACCGUAGCUGAUCUGAGAGGAGGUUCAGCCACCCUGGAACUGAGACCCGGUCCGAACUCCUACGGGAGGCAGCAGUGGGGAAUAUUGGAAAAUGGGGGCAAGCCUGAUCCAGCCAUACCGCGGGAGUAAAGAAGGCCUUGGAGUUGUAAAGUCCUUUUGUAGGGAAAGAAAAACAGCAGGUUAAUACCCCGCUGUUCUGACGGUACCCAAAGAAUAAGCACCGGCUAACUUCGU
This 491-nucleotide ribosomal RNA is filed under the name uncultured bacterium. RNAcentral's name for it is "partial 16S ribosomal RNA". It matches the Rfam family "Bacterial small subunit ribosomal RNA", at positions 29 to 506 of the family's 1533-position model. The record is from RNAcentral.